ACUUAAACCCGGAGAGGAAGCAGUGGCUAACUCUGUGCCAGCAGCCGCGGUAAUACAGAGACUGCAAGCGUUAUUCGGAUUCACUGGGCGUAAAGGGUGCGCAGGCGGUUGGGUGUGUCAGAUGUGAAAUCCCGAGGCUCAACCUCGGAACUGCGUCUGAAACUACUCGACUAGAGUACUGGAGAGGGUAACGGAAUUCACGGUGUAGCAGUGAAAUGCGUAGAUAUCGUGAGGAACACCAGAGGCGAAGGCGGUUACCUGGACAGUUACUGACGCUCAGGCACGAAAGCAUGGGGAGCAAAAGGGAUUAGAUACCCCUGUAGUCCAUGCCCUAAACGGUGCACACUAGGUCUUAGCGGAUUCGACCCCACUAGGGCCCAAGCUAACGCGUUAAGUGUGCCGCCUGAGGACUACGGUCGCAAGACUAAAACUCAAAGGAAUUGACGGGGGCCCGCACAAGCGGUGGAGCAUGUGGCUCAAUUCGAUGCAACGCGAAGAACCUUACCAGGCCUUGACAUGCACUAGACCGACUCUGAAAGGAGUCUUCCCUUCGGGGCUGGUGCACAGGUGCUGCAUGGCUGUCGUCAGCUCGUGUCGUGAGAUGUUGGGUUAAGUCGCGCAACGAGCGCAACCCCUGUCCUUAGUUGCCAUCAGGUAAAGCUGGGCACUCUAGGGAGACAAACCCUCUCUGAGGGUGGGAAGGUGGGGAUGACGUCAAGUCAGGAUGGCCCUUACGGCCUGGGCUGCACACGUGCUACAAUGCUCGGUACAGAGGGACGCAAGACCGCGAGGUGGAGCGAAUCCCAAAAACCGAGCCCAGUUCAGAUUGCAGUCUGCAACUCGACUGCAUGAAGCCGGAAUCGCUAGUAAUGGCGUAUCAGCUACGACGCCGUGAAUACGUUCCCGGGCCUUGUACACACCGCCCGUCACGUCAUGAAAGCCGGUUUUGCCCGAAGUGCGUUUGCCAACCAGCAAUGGAGGCGGCGCCCUAAGGGAGGCUGGUGAUUGGGACGAAGUCGUAACAAGGUAACCGU
RNAcentral lists this ribosomal RNA (1034 nucleotides) under Opitutus sp. enrichment culture clone Lt-E11. Its description in RNAcentral is "bacterial SSU rRNA". It matches the Rfam family "Bacterial small subunit ribosomal RNA", at positions 471 to 1503 of the family's 1533-position model. Lineage: Bacteria; Pseudomonadati; Verrucomicrobiota; Opitutia; Opitutales; Opitutaceae. The record is from RNAcentral.